This 538-nucleotide ribosomal RNA is filed under the name Listeria monocytogenes. Its description in RNAcentral is "partial 23S ribosomal RNA". It matches the Rfam family "Bacterial large subunit ribosomal RNA", at positions 658 to 1193 of the family's 2925-position model. Lineage: Bacteria; Bacillati; Bacillota; Bacilli; Caryophanales; Listeriaceae. The record is from RNAcentral.
AAGCGGAGCCGUAGCGAAAGCGAGUCUGAAUAGGGCGCAUAAGUAACAGGUCGUAGACCCGAAACCAGGUGAUCUACCCAUGUCCAGGAUGAAGGUAAGGUAAUACUUACUGGAGGUCCGAACCCACGCACGUUGAAAAGUGCGGGGAUGAGGUGUGGGUAGCGGAGAAAUUCCAAUCGAACUUGGAGAUAGCUGGUUCUCUCCGAAAUAGCUUUAGGGCUAGCCUCGAGGUAAAGAGUCAUGGAGGUAGAGCACUGUUUGGACUAGGGGCCCUUCUCGGGUUACCGAAUUCAGAUAAACUCCGAAUGCCAUGUACUUAUACUCGGGAGUCAGACUGCGAGUGAUAAGAUCCGUAGUCGAAAGGGAAACAGCCCAGACCACCAGUUAAGGUCCCCAAAUAUAUGUUAAGUGGAAAAGGAUGUGGGGUUGCUUAGACAACCAGGAUGUUGGCUUAGAAGCAGCCACCAUUGAAAGAGUGCGUAAUAGCUCACUGGUCGAGUGACCCCGCGCCGAAAAUGUACCGGGGCUAAACAUAUUA